AACUCAGUUUGCAGUAAUCCACAGCCCUCAGAAAUAUUUGACUUCUACCUAUAAGUAAAUAAAGGACUUGUGAGGAAUGCAGCAAACAGGAAAUCCCUCCACAAAAGAUGCAGUGUCCCAACUUGUACUGCGCCUGAAUAGUUUACAUGAUAAUUUACUGAAGAAAUCUAGUGUACUUUAAAUUUUUUUCAUAAAAGUUUCCAUUGUGUUAUAGGUUAACAUUAAAUGUUUUAUAACAAAAAAAUCAUUCCUUUAAUCAUUCUGGUAAAAGAUUAAUAUCAAUGUAGUAUGAAUAAGCCCAUUAUAAAUAGCAUGUUGUCUGAAAAUGGAAAGAAGAGUUUAGAUACAUGAACCUGAAAGUCAUCACUAGAAACCACUAAGAUACCUAGAUUUUUCAUCUGAAUUCACUCAUUCUUAAUUGAUCAUUUAUCUAUCACCAGUAGGUUGGACUUUUUUGGGGGUUGGGAUAAAAAAAAAAAGAAAAAAAAUAAACUCUCCUUAAGUAACUUUCAUACAAUCAAGAGAAAGAAAAAAUAUAAACAGGUAAUAGCAACAUUCUCUAUCUGUAUACAAAAUGCUUAUAGAUGCUACUUAUUUAUUAUAUGCCCAUGUCAGAAUUUGUAUACAUAAACCAAGCCAGGGAUGCUGGCCACCUUUUUGAAUUUUUUCACCAUUUACCCAGCUCUUCAUUCUUGUUUGAUAGUUAUUAAACACCUGAGGGGAAGAAUCUAGUAAAACCAAAAUAUUUAAAUAGUCACACAAUGGUCAUUUUGACAGAGAUGUUGCUGGUCAUAAACCAGUCAUGUGGGGAUCCCUGGGUGGCUCAGCGGUUAGUGCCUGCCUUUGGCCUAGGGUGUGGUCCUGGAGUCCCGGGAUCGAGUCCCACAUCGGGCUCCUGGCAUGGAGCCUGCUUCUCCCUCUGCCUGUGUCUCCGCCUCUCUCUCUCUCUCUCUCUGUCUGUCUCUAAUGAAUAAAUAAAAUCUUAAAAAAUAAAUAAAUAAACCAGUCAUGUGAAUUACACCAAGUUAUUUUGCAGCUGAUUAUACAGCUGUAAGUACUUCUUUUAGUGAUUGCAUCAAGAGUACUAAUAUAUACAUCUGGAUUGGAAGACUGAGAUGCAGUAUUGAGGUGGAAGGCUUAUUUGAAAUCCAUCUGCUAUGGAUUUUAACUUCACCAGCUUGGUAAAAUGAUCUGAACCACAUAAUCUACUCUAGUAUCCUUUCCCAGUUUCAUAGGGAACAGCAGGAGAGAUACAAACUUGCGAGAAAUCCAAAGUUGGAAACCUUUUCAUGUAGUGUUCCUGAAUCUCAAGGAAAUCCAGCUUAUUAGUUUCAAAAGAAUCUUUCAGCCACUACUGCAUCUAUGCUUCCAUCUGGGUGGGGACCUAACUGAAAUGUGACUCCAUGUUGGAAACCAGUAUACAGAAAAGCCAGUUCCCAGCUUCAGAGGGGAUUGGCAGAAUACAGUUUGGAUCCAGGUUCAGUAAGUACAAUUUGCUAGUUUAUUUUAGUUUCCAAAGCCAUCCAACUUUGAUUUGCCCUGGCUCUUGAUUUUUUAGAAACUUGGCAAUAGAAUGAUCUUAUUAAAUAGAUCCUCCCCUCAUAUAAGCAUCUUCAGAUUGAGAGGCCACAUAAAUUUUGUUUUUUCAAUUCUAAACGCAUACAAGAUUUUUAUCUGUCCCAUUAUGGAUCAGACUUGCCUUUCGUUUCUCCCUAGCUCUCCUGUAUUUUUUUCUGUAUUCAUUUAGAUUUAAUUUUUUUAAGGCAAGAACCAUGUAUAAGGUGACUUAUUCAUGUUCAAAAUCUUAGUACUUAAUACAAAAUCUGGCAUAUAGUCAUUAAUCAAUAGCAUUAUAGUUAAUAAUACAUAUUAUGAGGAAAACAUUUUCUAUUAACAUAGAUUACUUUUCAGGCCUAUCAUAUAUGACAUAUGUAUAUACACAUGUAUACACAUAUCUGUGAUACAUAUCUCUCUAUAUGUUUCAGUAAUAAUUGGUAUGUGAAGUUGUACCUGCACAUAUAUAUAUAAUCUCUAUCAGAUUCCCUAGCCAUAAUAUCAACACAGCAAAGAAUACAACUUAAUAAAAAGAUUUAUGAUUAGUAAGUUAAACAGAGAAUGGCAAUGUGACCCAGCAAUUUCACUCCUAGGUAUCUGCUCAAAAGAAUGAAAACUAUUAUUCAAACAAAAAAUUGUAUGUAGAUGUUCAUAGCAAAAUUCACAAUAGCCAAAAGGUAGAAAUGAUGCAAAUAUCCACCAACUGAGGAACAGAUAAUCAGAAUGUGACGUAAUACAUGUAAAGAAUAUUAUUCAGCCAUAGAAAUAAUGAAGUCCUAGCACAUGCUACAACAUGGAUCAAGCUUGAAAACUUUAUAUAAUAAGGGAAAGAAACCAGACAUAAAAGUUACAUAUUAUAUGAUUCCAUUUAUAUCAAAAACCCACCCUGACACAUACAUAGAGACAGGAAGAAGAUCUGUGGUUGCCAGGGGCUGGGCUGGGCAUGAAGUGAUGGGAAGAUAAUAGUUGGUUUCUUUUGGGGUUGAUAAAAAUGUUUGGAGCUAGAUAGAAGUGAUGGUUGUCACACAUUGUGAAUGUAAAGUAAAUGCUAAAUUUCACAUUUGAAAGUGGUUAAAAUGGUAAAUUGUAUGUGGAUUUUACCAUAACAAAAAUAUUUGUGCCAGAAUUGCUGUUUAAUCAAACUACAUUUUAAAAAUUCAAAAUCUUGAAUUCAUUAUUUUUUUCUAGAAUUUUAUAGCAGUUAUAGCUCACCUGACUUACUUGACUAAAAUCCUUUUUUUUUUUUUUAAGGAAACUUCAGUCUAUUGAAAUCUCUGUUCUCUAUCGAUGAAAAUAUAUCAAAAUCAUUAAUUAUUUUAGUUGAAAUGAUUGUUAUCCAUAGUGCACCUACUCUUUUCUUUUCCAUUAUAAUAACUAAUUCAAUGCUGUUCCUUUGAGAAAAAGGCAGUUUUUUUUAAAUUAAAUACUGAAAAUCUAAAUAUUUUUCUGGAUACAGUUAAUUUUUUCAAAGAAAAUUAUUUUAAAAGUUUUACCAGCCUUGCUUUGUAGUUCAUAAUCAUUAGAGUUCAUAACAUAAUCAUUACUUUACUGUCUUACGUCUCACUGGAUAGAGAUCAUCAAUAUGUAAAUUAUAUAUAUAAUAGAUGGAGUUAUAAACACUAAAAGUAUCGAGUCAAUGGAAUAAUAUUACGAAGGAGAGAUGAUGUUGAAAUUAUGGUGGUGUAGAUGAGCUUCACUGAAAAAUAUAAACUUUCACAUGCAUCUAGAAAAUUGAUAGGAUUUGAUAGUUUACCAUAGCAGGAGAGAAUGAUGAACAUUCCAGGUGUCCAGGCAAGACAGAAGAUGCUUCAGGAUUUUAAUAUCUCCAUUGUAAAUGAUUGAAAAUGCCUUGCCACUAUUUCCCAGCAUGUAACUGCAUCCACUCAUACAUGUCCAAUACACUCUGGGAUGAGAGAUCUUUCUAAAAGACAAAUCUAUUUGGCCUAAUAAUUACAAUAGCAUGCAUUUAUGCAGUGGUUACUUUGUCCCAGACACUGCUGUGUCUUCAUGGUUAAACACUUAAUCAUCAUAAUAAUUGUGCAAGAUUUUUCCUUACCCUGUCAAAAUACUUAUAAAUAUUACAAGAAAAUCAGAUUCUGAAUCCUAUCAUGAGCUGCCUGUAUCUUCUGACUCAAUGUUCAAACCAAAUGACUCAAAUACAAGAGAAACAGUAACUUAUCCAAUUAUCUAAUAGGUACUUACUGAAUGCCACGUCCUCUCACCCCUCCAUAUGUCUUCGUCUGUGUGAUGUCUAUGGACUCAAAUGUUCCCUACUACCUUCGUAUUUCCUCUUUUGUAUGAAUGUACAUUCCCUCUCACCUUUGAGCAGUAUUCUCUGAUGUAAAAAUAGUUACACUUUGUUUUUAUGCCCAGGUUUUGGCUAUUAUUUAUAAAGCUGUGUUAAAUAUUCAAAUAUAGUUCUUUGUGUAAACAUAUAUUUUCAUUUUUGUUGGGUAAAUGCCUAUAAAAGGAAUUGCUGGAUCAUUAGGAAAGUCAAGUUUAACUUUCUGAGAAACUGCCAAACCACUCUCCAAAGUGCAGUGGCACAUUUCAUUUCUUACAAUCAUUUUGUCCCUCAUCUUCAACAAAACUUAGUAUUAUUGGUUUUAUUAAUUUCAGCCAUUCUGCUGAGCAUGUAGUGCUAUCAUAUGUGAUCUGGUUUGUGUUUUCCUAAUGACUAAUGAUGUUGAGCGUCCUUUCCUGUGUAUUUUCCAUUUGUUUAUCUUUUAUGGUGAAAUGUAUGAUAAAAUCAAAACCCCAUUUUAAUUAAGUUACUUGGUUUCAUACUAAGGAGUAGUAAGAUUAUUUAGAUAUUCAACUUACAUGUCCUUUAUCACAUAUAUGUGUUACAAAUAUUUCACUUGAAUUUACAACCCUGAGGUCAGGAGUCCCUCGCUCCACUGACUGAGCCAGCCAGGCUCCGUAGCCUGCUUUAGUUUUUUAUACUACUUUGGACUCUUAUUUUUCCUGAAUCUGUGUGUAUAUACUUUUUAUCAACUUGGGAAAAUUCUGGCUAUUCGUUAUUCAAAUAUUUUGUUCUUACUCUGUCCUUCAUUUUCUAGCAAUCCAAUUACAUAAAUGUAUGCUCUGUUAAUAUACCAAGUCCUUUGUUUUUAAGCUUGGUAAGAAAGGUCUUGGGAAAUUUUUAUACUUAAUUUAGCUUCAAAACUAAGGCAGUAUCCUGAGGACUCUACUUAAUGCCCUGCGUAUCACUAGGUCUUUCCACACUGGCAAGUGGAAACAUGAGUUAUCCUCAGCCCUGUGAGAGCUCCAGGAACUUUUCUACUCCUUUCCUGUGGCUCUUUCCAAGGCUUCUGGUACUUUCUUCUCAUGAAAUGUACAGAGCAAUACUCAGUGACAGAACUGGGAGAUUCUUUGAGGUUUUACAGAGUUGUGUGUCUCUGCAACUACCCACUCCACUCUCUUAUUCUGACCUGUCAAAUCUAGUUUUCUUGACUGCCCCCAAAAUUUGGUCUCUAUCUCUGCAACUUGGCAAGAUGGCUUAAUUCCAUUACAGCUAACCCUCCUUUGUUGUUUGGUACAAUUGAAGGGCUCAUCUUUUUUUGUGGUUCACUUAUGCCAGGGGUCAUAGUCCUAUGUUGCUUGUUGUCCAAUAUUUGAAAAAUGUUACUUAUGUUUUGUCUACUGUCUAAUUGUUUAACACAGAAGAGGUUUUCUUUUUUUUGGUGUUUUGUUUUGUUAUUGUUAUUUCAUCCUAACCAAGGUUGAAGUUCUAGUCCCAAUUCGACAUGUUGAGUUUAAGGAAUUGAUGAAACAUUUAGCAAGGUGUCAAAACAGGCAAACAUGGCCUUAGAAAGGAGCUUAUUUUUAUAUUAAAUUUCCCAAUUAUUUUUUAAGUAUAAAUUUGAAAGUAGAGAAAUAAGUGAUUCAUUGGGAAUUACUAUAUAUUAUAUUCAAAAUGCAGAAGACUAAAGAUGUAAUUCUUGGGGAGUUAUAUGUAAGAGAAGAAAGAUUUAUAAAAGUAAAGUUAUAUGUUAAAUAAAAGCAGGCACAAUUUUAAGAAAUUUGGAGUUAUUCUGAAAAUUGGUACUUAAAGGAAGAACCAUGUUCUGAUGUUUUCCCCUAAAAUUUCAGCAAGUUCUAAAAAAAAUAAACAUAAAAAUAAAAUAAAAUAAAAUUUCAGCAAGUUCUUGAUUGAAAAAUUUUAAAGGGAUAUUAUUUUCCAAUGAAAUGACAGUUGGUAUCAGACAUUUGUGCCUGCUGACAAGACAGUGACAUGGUACCACAACAAGUGCCUAUGAUUCAAAUGGUGUCUAGACAGGAGGGAUCGUUUUGAACUUCUUAUUUUUCACUGUCAUCAAAUUCUGUAUCAUACAUUUUCUUUUAUGCACAGUGAUUAGACAUAGAUUUUACAUAAAAAGAACAUAGAGGGGACAAUACUGUUGUAUACUGUAAAUAAUUAGAGGAGUCAGUUUAAGUAGAUUGUUCAAGUUAAGUAGAUGUUCAAGAGUAUAGUCUAUAGCUCUCUCAUGAAGAUAAAAUCAAAACACUGAACUGUGACUUAAUUCUUUGAUAUAUACAUGUACACAUGCAUGCAUAUUUAAAUGAUUGAGAUAUGAUACCAAAUUAAAUCAUCUGUCAAUCUAAAAUAAUUCUAGUAGACUAAUUUAGUGACUAUUCUAUUUCACUUUGCUAGAUAAAUAUUGUUAAAGAGUUGUAAAACUAGAACCUUUAGUUUUAUAAUUACAUUAAAAUAUAUCCUUGACUCUAUCUUUGAUUGGUAGUUCCCUGGGAGAUGAAGGAAUUUUGUGAUAAAAAUAUAAGUGAACAUCUGAAUUUAAAGAAACCUGUGAAUUUCUAGAGAAUUAUAAAUUAUCCUUAAAUUACCAAACUUUAAGUGAUCAGAAAUCAUAUAGAGCUAAUCAUGUCAGCUAUUCUGAAAAAGUUUAAUAAUUUCCUAGUUAAGCCCAUUUGGAAAUGCACAGAGAAAAAAUUUUAAAUGCUUUAAAAAUUUAUUAUAUCUUUUCGGAAAGAAAUUUCUGGGGUAAGUACAGUACAUUUCAAAGACAUAAGAAUCAUAAACAUGAGUGGGAAAUAUCAGAAAGGGAGACAGAACAUAAGAGACUCCUAACUCUGGGAAAUGAACAAGGGGUGGUAGAAUGGGAGGUGGGCAAGGGGUGGGGGUGACUGGGUGACGGGCACUGAGCGGAGCACUUGAUGGGAUGAGCACUGGGUGUUAUGCUAUAUGUGGGCAAAUUGAACACCAAUAAAAAAUAAACAAAUAAAAAACAAAGACAUAAGAAUCAAAUGAUCACGUCUUUACUAAUUUAUUUUGGCAUUAAAACCAUGUUCAAUUAUGGAUCAACUUUGUAUACAUAUUCCUAAGAACUAUCCAUAAUUCCCCAAGUUUAGAUUAACUUUUAGUAAAAUAUAUACAAAGAAACUGUAGUCUGUAUUUUAUUUUCCCCAAACCUAUAGUAAUUUUAUUUAUGAAGCAAAAAUAAAACAUUUAUCUUUAAAUUAAAUAGCGUCAUAAUACCAACAUUUUGGAAAGCACUUUAUUCUUAAUCUACGUAGGACUGGAAUAAACAUAAACUGUGACCUACUGUAUCUUAACCCCUGAGAAACUCAUAUCCGCAUGUACCCAAAUGUAUGUAUAAUUUUCAGAAAAGCAUUGUUCAAAAUAGUUUGACAGUAGGGAGUAAUGUCCAAACAUUUAUCAACAACAGAAUGCAUAGAGUGUGGUAUUAUCAUUACAAUAUUAUAAUUAAGACCUAUAACAAUAAUUUAACCACAACCACACUCAAGAACAUAACUGCAUCUUAUGAUACAUUGUGAUAAAGAUGUAAGACAUAGAAAUACAUAUAAUGUGAUUUUUUUGGAGGGGGUUAAGAACGGGUAAAUCUAAACUUCAUCCUUUGGGAUGUACACCUAGAUAGUAAAACAAAAAGAAUAAGGAAAUUAUUGCUAAGUUAUGAUAGGGUUCUUGCAGAGUGAUGGAAGGUGAUUGCUUGAGGGUUUCUUGAGUUCUUUUUCUUGGCCUAGAUGUUGUUUAUAGGAUCACAUACAUUUUAAUUGUUUGUUAAACAAUUAUUUGUCAAAGCUGUGUUUGAUGCACUUGUGUCUAUGAAUGUAUUUUACAAUAACAAAAUAUUUUUAAAUAUAAAAUUUCAGAAAUGACCGACCUAACAAUAUUUGGUAUAUAACAGGUUUUCAAGCUCUUUACAAGUUUCUGUACAAAUGACUUUUUCUCUAUGUCAGUUUUAUCAUUUGCUAUGUAAAUAUUAAGCAUCCUCUUCAUAUUUCUAAGCAGAUUAAUCUAUGAUUUAAUCUUUUUAUUUGAACAAACUUUGUUUAACCGGUGCAGCCCUGUCAAUUUCCCCAUAUGUUGCUUUCAUAUUUCACUAUGAAUAAUUUAUCCCUCUCAAGUUAAUAUGGAAAAACAUGAAUUUUAUUGAUGAUACCUCUUGUGUUUAAUUGUGAAGCACCACUGUGACUUAUGAGACUUGUGUUUUUGUUAUUUACUUGUAAUUUAUUAAGAUCUGUCUUUGGAAAGGGGCAAAUAGAACACAUGUUGUUGAUGACAAUAUUUGAUAGUCAAUAAUCAUUACCUGAUUAAAAUAUAAGAAUCAGGGAUGGGAUACUUAUAUCUUUUGUAAGUAAAGGCAGGAAUAUAGGCUGCAGAGAGAAAAAGGACAGAAAAUCCAGGCCUAUGAGAUACUUGGAGAUGGAUGUCUAAGAGAUCCAGAUACCCAGAUUCACAAAAAACAGUGGCAUAUGGAUUAUAUGCCAUAUGUAAUUUCUGAAAGAAUUCCUAUCUGCUAAGUAUCAAUCCAAAAAGCAGUAAUUGAUGAAUAGGAUUGAAGUUCUUUCAAUAGCCUGCUUUAAAUAUAGAUGGUAUAAAAUCUGUUUCGUGAGAAAAAAGAUAAUCUGAUAGAAAACUGUAGCUAUAUGAUAUUAAGUAAAUGGUUCUUAUUUCUUCAUAUAAAAAGCACGUGACCGCCAUGUAAAGCAAGUGAUUUUUAGGUUGAAAACCUCAAACAUGCCUGGUUCUUGAUGUGCAGAAUCCUUUUCUGUAUGAAAGAAAGACCUUGGAUCUUUUGGGGUUUUUAUUUGAGGAUUCCAGUGUUCAGUAUGUUAGUAGAAAGUCCACCAGUGUAGCUGACGCAUAAGUUCACAAUCUCAUGUAGGCAACUGCAUCCUUGGGAUGGCCUGCCCCAUGCUAAUUGCCGACCAAGCAAGAGUUCAUUUUUGCCUGCGUUCUUCCAUGAGGAUACAACUAGAAUGAGUGCUGGUGUGGGGGGAGGCUAAACUCCACAUCUACCCAUCUUAGGUUCUCCCGGGGGGACUCAUUACCAACAGGAUAUCAUCAAAAGAAAAAAUUUAUAAAGGUUUGCAGUGCACAUCACACUGAAGAAAUCAAAAACAAAGAGGAACUCAAAGCAGCAGCUUAAAACUGUCGGCUUUAUAGCGUCUUCAGCAAAGAACAAUAAUACAUUUGUAGAAAGAAUGAUAGCCUAAAGAAAAGCAGUUUUAGGCUAUCAAGGGCGGCAAACUGGAAAGGUAAAUAUAUGGGAAGACAUUAACACUAAGAUUUGUUUCUGGAUUCCUCUUCCCAAAAAUAUAUAUACAUAUAUAUUUUGGGGUGGCUUACCCCGGCUUCCUUCACAAGGCUUUAUACCUGGCUCUCAGGAAUCCCUGCUGAGCCAAGCUCUAGUUAUUGGUAUUUGAGUUAAAUUACAGUUAUAGGUGGAAUGGGUGCAUGAGUCAUUUCAUUAGAAUGUUUCAAAAGAUGUGCCCUUAGUCUCUUCUUUGGCCAAAAGUGUGUGCAGAAGCCCCAUCCUCUAAGGGAUUGUACAGAAUGUCUGGCGCUCUGUAGAGUUGGUUUUUUUCCCCCCUCCUGAGGAAAGCAAGAUUACUCUUUAACAGUUAAAAGCAUUGUCCUAUUAGGGAUAAUGUAACACCACAUCAUCCUUCCUGUGUAGUACAUCAUUAUGCAUACACUAUAAAAACAGACUCUGCAUGGUGACUAAUUUUGGAAUAAACCCAUAGACUAAAUCACAGCAUAUAUAAAUCAUUUCUAUCUCAGCUGCUCACUUAAACCUGAACAAAUUUUCUGGAAGCAUGUUAAUUUUCCUAUGAUACUCCUUAAUAUUCCUUGCAGAGCUGGUUUGGUGGUCACAUAUUCUUGCAGUUUCUGCCUAUCUUGGAAGCUCUUGAUCUCUCCUUCUAUUCUGAAUGAGAGCCUUGCUGGAGAGAGUUUUCUUGCCUGCAUGUUCUUCUCAUCUAGGACCCUGAAUCAAUCCUGCCAGCCCCUUCUGGCCUCCCAGGUCUCUGAGGAGAGGUCUGCUAUUAAUGUAAUAAUUCUCCCCAUAUCGUUAAGAAUCUGCUGUCUCUAACUACUUUACGGAUUUUCUCUUUUUCUAUGGAAUUUGCAAGUUUCACUAUUAAGUGUCGAGGUAUUGAACGGUUUUUAUUGAUUUGUGGGGAGGACCACUCUAUCUCCUGGGUCUGAAUGCCUGUUCCUCUCCUCAAAUUAGGGAAGUUCUCAGCUUGGAUUUGUUCCAAUAUGCUUUCUGGCCUCUGUCCUUCUGGGUGCUCUCUGGAACCCCAGUGAUGCGUAAUUCUUCCUUCUGAAGCUGUCAUGUAUUUCCCUUAACCUUUCCUCGUGGUCCUUUCAUUGUUUUUCUCUGUUUUCCUCAGCUUCCUUCCUUGCCAUCAAGGAGUCUUCUAUGUUGCUCAUUCUUUCUUCCAGCACCUUAUGCCUUGUCAUUUGGACCCCCAAUUUGAAUUGCACCUCAUUUAAUUGAUUUUUAACUUGAACCUGAUGAGAUCUUAAUUUUGCAGUCCUGAAGCCUCCACCCGCCCCGGGGGGAGGCAGGACUGUGGCCCUGUCCCCCGUGCCCUGGGCUCCGGGGCCUUUGCUGCUGGCAUCGCGCUCUCAGGGCCACUGAGGGCGCCCGAAGGCAGGCACAGAGUCCCGCCUGCCCCCCCCUUCUCCUCGACGCCCUGCUGGCUGCAGUUCCAGAGCUAUCCUGAGCUCGGCCCCUUCCUGUCUUGUCUUGUUAGAAUCCGCUCCCCCCACCACCACCACCCCGCUUCUUUCUUUCUUGGUAUCCACCUUCCACCUUGUUAGAAGGGAAAACCCUUCUCUUUAACUCUCAGGUCACAUUGGUAGGUGUCCAGGAUGACUGGAAAUUUAUCUAGGUGAGUUGGCGGAUCCGGUGAGUUGAGGACUCUACUCUCAGGCCUUCUUCCCCCUGUUGUCUCCUUUUUGUUUUAAAGCCCUUUCUGCGGAUCCCUGGGUGGCUCAGCUGUUCGGCGCCUGUGUUUGGCCCAGGGCGUGAUCCUGGAGUCCCAGGAUCCAGUCCCACGUUGGGCUUCUGGCAUGGAGCUUGCUUCUCCCUCCUCCUGUGUCUCUGCCUCUCUCUCUCGCUCUCUCUCUCUCUUCUUUCUCUCUAGGUCUAUCAUGAAUAAAUAAAUCUUUAAAAAAAAAAAAGCCCUUUGUACAUGAUCUACCAGUGUGUUGUGGUCCCUGUAAGGGCUCCGUUUCCAUUUCCACGUAUGUUUAUGAGUGAGUUCUGCAAUUUUGGGUUUAGCUCCACUGACAGCAGGAGAGGAGUUACUAUUCCAGCAGCAUUGUUUUCAACUCAUGAAUGAAAUGGAAAGUCAUUUCCCUGUCUGUCUGGAACUUGUAAUUACUUGAUUAUUUAAUUAGUUUCCUUUGUAUCUAUUUCAUUUUGCAUGACUCUAUUAUGGUCCUGCCUUUCUUUAUGGUAGUGCAUUUUCAGGAUAUCCCUAUGCAUAAAAAAAAUCAUUAUUCUAGUUUGCUUGUGUCCCAUUCAUAGGUCAAAAGUUCCAAGCCAUAUUCCUACUGUUUUCUUUCUUUUUUUUUUAAUAUUUUUUUCUUUAUUUAUUUAUGAUAGAGAGAGAGAGAGAGAGGCAGAGACACAGGCAGAGGGAGAAGCAGGCUCCAUCCACCGGGAGCCCGACGUGGGAUUCGAUCCCGGGUCUCCAGGAUCGCGCCCUGGGCCAAAGGCAGGCGCCAAACCGCUGCGCCACCCAGGGAUCCCUCCUACUGUUUUCUGUGUGAAUAUUUCAAUUUAGAAGGAAACCAGAUGGAACAUCGUGUUUGAGACCAUGGUGCCCAAAGGAAGUGAAAGGAUACCUGGAGGAAGUUGUUUGUCCUGAAGGAUGUGUCUCUCCAGUCCAUUCAGGAUGGUGACUACAACAUUCCCCAGCCAAGCAGGAGACACCGUUGAUGAGGGAAAGUACCCCAUCACUGUUUUAUAAGCAGCUUUGGUGUCGCCAAUGGUAAACAUCCUCUCAGAUAAGCUAAUGCAUGGCAAGAGGCAAGCACUCAGCACCCUUGCCACCAGGAAGAUUAUGUAUUUCAUCUCAAAUGGACGCUGUCUGAUGGUCAUCAGAAUUUGUGUGGAAAGCAACCGAGAAAGCAACAUUCGUUCCUCAAAGAUACUGAGCUCACCUUGACAGCAUUAACUUGCACUUCUCCUCUGAUGUUCUGGAAUAAUCUCAUGAUGAAGGGAUCAUAAAGUGCUUCUAGAAGGACACAGAGUACCCAUCAGCACAUGGGUCAUGCUGCUCAAGAAUAAUUCAGGUAGUGGUGCCUGAGUUGCUCAGUCAGCUAAGAGUCUGCCUUUGGUUCAGGUCAGGGUGUCUGGGACCUGAAAUGGAGCCUGAUGUGGGGCUCCCUGCUCAGCAAAGGGUGUGUUUCUUUCUCUCCCUCUGCCCCUCUUGCCUCUUCUGCUCUCUCUCUCUCAAAUACAUAAAUAAUUUCUUGAAGAAAAUAAAAGGCUAAUUUGGGGACUGUUGAUCAGUAUGAAUGAAGGCUAGUGAACAUGAUGGCAUUUGGUAACUAAGCAUGGGCUGAGCUACCACUGUCGGGCCACUCACGGGGUUAGGGCUGGAAAAUAUGGUGUGUUAGGAGUUUCUUUAUUUUGGAGAAUGAUGAGAGAAGCCAAGGUGCAGUGUCAGUGGGACAAUGUCCUGGGAAAACUCUCUUAUUCUUCCUUUCUCCUUCUCCCUUUCUCUGUAUUUCUGUGUCCAUAGCUGUCUCUCAUUCUCUCUCUCUCUCUCUCACUCACAAUUCUCUCUCUGUGUCACACACAUGCACACACAACUCUGUCACACUCAUAGGUUUAAACAAGUCACUCCACCCUAAGAGUCAUGCACUCACAACCAUACCAAACAGUGAACACACCGGCUCCUAGUAUUGUAGAAAUGUAGGCAUGUUUUCUCACCUGGGAAAGCUGCCUAUCUCACACCCCCAAGCCUCAGGAACAUGGAACCGGGUGGCUGUCCAGAAGAGAACAGCAGGUUGCUGCAUCUGCCGUACUAUUUAGAUUUUUUUUUUUUCUGCAAGAGAGGGGUUCCAGAAUACAUACCACUUUCGCUGUUUUCUGAGACGUCUGCACUUACACAAAAGAGUAAACCAUGAGGGUCAGGUCAUGUGUGUCCUUUGUCAUUGGUUCUCCUAGUGAGUAUUCAACACCACAUGAGCAACAGUAGUAAAACGAUAGGCCUCCAAAGGAAGCGCAGGUUGCACCCAUGAAAAAGCAGGAGCUAUUCCUGGGGGAUGGAUCUCUCGUUCACUGAAGGAGCCACACGAAAUUCUUGAGGAAAAACUGCAUGUGAGAGAAAGGUCCCUUACUACACUGUUUAAAACAUCCCCUCCAAAACCCACAAAAAUGGUCCUUACUCCUAAAAAAUACACUGUUCCUUGUCAUAUCUGAAUUCGCUCCAAAAAGAGGAAAAAAGGACCAUUUCUAAUUCAGGAAAAUGGGUGAGCAUUCCAUAGAAGAAGUUGGAAACUCAUUCACUGACUUUUUUGUGGAAAAACUCCUGCACCACACACUUGGCAAGAUUUAGGAGGACACAAAAUAACUGUCAAUGCAUUCAUGGGAUGUGGUGCUCAGGAAUUACUGAGCGAUCACUGUUUAUAUGGAUACAGGCCAAGACUAUUGUAGUGAGUGAUUAAUAAGUAUCAUAUGAGGGUCUGGGGUCCAUCCUCCUUGGUGGACGAGGAAAACCUUCAGCUCAGGCCAAGGCCCCAGUGUCCUGCAAUCCAUCCCCUCCUUGGGGCCUUGUUCAGCCCAGAAUGUGCUUCCCCCUUUCCCUCUGCCUUUCUCCCUUGCUUAUGCGUGCUCUCUCUCUGAAAUAAAUAAAAUCUUCCCCAAAAAGUCAAUGGCAACUUCAAGUAGCCUGACAUAAUCAGUGCACAAAUAGAACUGAUCUGCACAUCGAUUCCAAUGAUGACUUCCCAUCGCUCAUGCAGCUUGUUGUGAAACCCAACUAAAAACUCCCACCUUCUGGACAUCUGGCAAAAUCAUUUCUGUCUCUGUAGGUCCACAUAUGCUGUCCUCUCUUUUGCAAAUUUUUCAACCUGAAAAACCCCUUUUCUUGGUAGGUUUGAUUCAAUGCUAGACAAUUAUUCUCUUUUGUUCUAUUUAGUCUAGUGCUCUGUUGUAUUUAUUCACUAACAGGUUUUUUUUUUUUAAGGUUUAUGUAUUCAUGAGAGACGUAGAGGCAGAGACAUAGGCAGAGGGUGAAUCAGGCUCCAUGUGGGGAACCCGAUGCGGAACUCGAUCCCAGGCCCACAGGACCAUAACCUGAGCCAAAGGCAGAUGCUCAACCACUGAGCUACCCAGGUGCACCGGUAAUCAGUUUGGUGAAAAUAUUCCAUCCGGGAGAGGUUUAAAUACUCAAAGUAUACCAUUUACCAAUAGCCAUAGCUGUGAAGCAGAGUAGGAGGGACAGGCUUCCCAUUAUGCGUUAAAAAAAUCACGGAGAUCAAACGUACAGCAUAGGGAAUAUGAUCAGUGGAAUUGUAAUAGUGCUCUAUAGGGACACAUGGUAUCUACACUUGUGGUGAGCACAGUAUUACCCUAUACAAGUAUCGAAUCCAUAUGUGGUACACCUGAGACUAAUGUAACCUUGUGUACCAUCUCGAUUUCAAUUAAAAAAAAAAAAACAUAGUAAUGUAGGCACCAGGCUCAUUCCUUUAAUUGGGCAUCUACUUUGUGCUCAUAUCAUGAUCCCAGGGUCCUUGGAUACAUAAUAUUAUGUAUUUGUGAAAACAGUCAGGUGCAUAACACAGAGCAGUCCUUAAUAUAUGUGGUCAACUUCAAUGAUAAUAAUGUCUCUACACUGGUUUGUUCUUUGUGAUAAAAAUUCCACACUAAUGCAGGCAUGUAUGAUCGUGGAAAAUAUGUGCCAAGGGAUAGGGUGAUAUGGAAAUUUUUAUAAUAUAUGUUGCCUUAUGACACCAGUCUAAUCCUAAUCUCAAUAAUAAGGUCUCCUUAUUAAAACAUAAUCAGUGAUUUUAGGUUGUUAAUACUGUACACAGACUAGUGUCCAAAUGUUAGCUUCACAACCCCUACCUUUUAAUUUGACCAAAUUUGAGUGGUAAAAGCAGUUUUACUAUUUUGGCAUAAACUACUGACUGACCAUUUAAAUUAUGAAUUUCACAUAUAAAAUGUAAAUAAUAUAGCUUUGUAUUUUUGUCUUUAGUAUGGUAUCCUGAGCACAGUAAAAGAAUGAUUCUUUUUUUUUUUUUUUUUUUUUUUUUGUAAAGAGAGCAAAAGAGAAAGUGUAAGGGGGAGAGCAGUAGAGGAAAAGGGAGAGAGAAUACUAAGCAGGCUCCAUCCUAAGCAUGGAGUCCAACCUAGGAUAAUCUGAUGACCUGAGGUCAUGAACUCUGAGAUGAAACCAGGAGGCAGUCACAUACCUGAAUGAACCAAACCUGUGCCCCUGGAAUAAGUUUUCUUGAAUCAACUAAAGGAAUGAAUUUCCUGGUUACUUUCAAUCGACUCCUUUGCUGGUUGUAUUUUGGUUUUUCCUCAAGCGUGAAGUAGUUUGGUCCAGUUUUGUAUCCACAGAGAUCCAUAAACAUUUUUCACCUAAGGUUUUUGAUUGUAGACACUGGGAAACUCGGUUACCAUAGAGAGAGCUGUGGACAUCUUGCUGUCAGAAGACCAAGUGGAAAUUUUAAAACUUGACACGCACUAUCCAGGAUGAAAAUUCACUGGAUAGGCUCAGCAAUCCGAUGAAGAAACAAAGUAGACAGUGGACGUGUAAACAGAACGAGAGAAAUCAUACUAUCAUGAGAGGAGUGCAAAAAGACUGAACAAAAAUUGAUAGGAACUUAAACAUGCAUGCCUAGGAUACAUCAAAAGUGCUAAGUUCCACAGCAUGGAGUUCCUGUAGGAAAGCAGUUGGUGGUGAUCCCUGGGUGGCGCAGUGGUUUAGCGCCUGCCUUUGGCUCAGGGCGCGAUCCUGGAGACCCGGGAUCGAAUCCCACGUCGGGCUCCUGGUGCAUGGAGCCUGCUUCUCCCUCUGCCUAUGUCUCUACCUCUCUAUCUAUCUAUCUAUCUAUCUAUCUAUCUAUCUAUCUAUCUCUCUGUGUGUGACUAUCAUAAAAAAAAAAGCAGUUGGUGUAGAAGAAGGUAUGGGGGCAAAAUGGCUGAAAAUUUCAUAAAUAUGUGACUCAGAUCUACAAAGCUCUGAAAACCCUCCUCCUGACACAUUGUAACCAAUCUGCUGGCAAAGAGGAAGAAAAACCUUGAAAGCAGAGGAAAAGGACACAUUCAACCUAACAGAAUACGAAUUCCAAGGCCCGUGACUUCUCAGAAAACAGAGGUCAGAAGACACUGCAAUGGUGACUCAAAGUAUAGAAGGAAAACACCUCUGAGCCUAGGACGUUAUGUUCAGGAAAGAUAGCUUGAAAGAAUUAAGGCAAAAGGUGAAUGAAAAUGAAAACAAGACAAAGUCGGCAGACAAGCAGGUGGUAAACAACUGGAAGAAUCAGUCAUUGAGCAAAUAUUUAUUUAUUUUCAUUAAAAAAAUUUUUAUUGCA
Molecule: long non-coding RNA, 16390 nt
Organism: Nyctereutes procyonoides (raccoon dog)
Lineage: Eukaryota; Metazoa; Chordata; Mammalia; Carnivora; Canidae
Exons: 3
Source: RefSeq, a predicted model, not a curated record